UGGAAAGCAAAUGCCUUCUCUACCCCCAU
RNAcentral lists this non-coding RNA (29 nucleotides) under Mus musculus (house mouse). The record is from RNAcentral. RNAcentral also lists the same sequence under 1 other name. Lineage: Eukaryota; Metazoa; Chordata; Mammalia; Rodentia; Muridae.